AUACGUAGGGGGCGAGCGUUAUCCGGAUUUAUUGGGCGUAAAGCGUGUGUAGGCGGUUUGUUAAGUUUAAGAUUAAAGCCCGAGGCUUAACCUCGGUUCGUCUUAAAGACUGGCAGACUUGAGUGCAGUAGAGGCAAGUGGAAUUUCUAGUGUAGCGGUUAAAUGCGUAGAUAUUAGAAGGAACACCAGUGGCGAAGGCGGCUUGCUGGGCUGUUACUGACGCUGAGACACGAAAGCGUGGGGAGCAAAUAGGAUUAGAUCCCCUAGUAGUCCACGCCGUAAACGAUGAGUACUAAGUGUCGGGUAACCGGUGCUGAAGUUAACACAUUAAGUACUCCGCCUGAGUAGUACGGUCGCAAGGCUGAAACUCAAAUGAAUUGGCGGGG
Molecule: ribosomal RNA, 386 nt
Filed under: uncultured bacterium
Lineage: Bacteria
Description: partial 16S ribosomal RNA
Rfam family: Bacterial small subunit ribosomal RNA
Source: RNAcentral